Molecule: ribosomal RNA, 497 nt
Filed under: uncultured bacterium
Lineage: Bacteria
Description: partial 16S ribosomal RNA
Rfam family: Bacterial small subunit ribosomal RNA
Source: RNAcentral
GAUGAACGCUGGCGGCGUGCCUAAUACAUGCAAGUCGAGCGAACAGACGAGGAGCUUGCUCCUCUGACGUUAGCGGCGGACGGGUGAGUAACACGUGGAUAACCUACCUAUAAGACUGGGAUAACUUCGGGAAACCGGAGCUAAUACCGGAUAAUAUAUUAAACCGCAUGGUUCAAUAGUGAAAGACGGUUUUGCUGUCACUUAUAGAUGGAUCCGCGCCGCAUUAGCUAGUUGGUAAGGUAACGGCUUACCAAGGCAACGAUGCGUAGCCGACCUGAGAGGGUGAUCGGCCACACUGGAACUGAGACACGGUCCAGACUCCGACGGGAGGCAGCAGUAGGGAAUCUUCCGCAAUGGGCGAAAGCCUGACGGAGCAACGCCGCGUGAGUGAUGAAGGUCUUCGGAUCGUAAAACUCUGUUAUUAGGGAAGAACAAAUGUGUAAGUAACUAUGCACGUCUUGACGGUACCUAAUCAGAAAGCCACGGCUAACUACGUG